This 275-nucleotide ribosomal RNA is filed under the name uncultured prokaryote. RNAcentral describes it as "partial 16S ribosomal RNA". It matches the Rfam family "Bacterial small subunit ribosomal RNA", at positions 524 to 798 of the family's 1533-position model. The record is from RNAcentral.
UACGUAGGGGUCGAGCGUUGUCCGGAGUUACUGGGCGUAAAGCGCAUGCAGGCGGCUCAUUACGCAUGGCGUGAAAGCCCCCGGCUCAACCGGGGAGGGUCGUCGUGAACGGGUGAGCUUGAGGGUAUCAGGGGCUGGUGGAAUUCCCGGUGUAGUGGUGAAAUGCGUAGAGAUCGGGAGGAACACCUGUGGCGAAGGCGGCCAGCUGGGAUACACCUGACGCUGAGAUGCGAAGGCGUGGGGAGCGAACGGGAUUAGAUACCCCCGUAGUCCCU